CCUACGGGAGGCAGCAGUGGGGAAUAUUGCACAAUGGGCGCAAGCCUGAUGCAGCAACGCCGCGUGAGGGAUGACGGCCUUCGGGUUGUAAACCUCUUUUAGCAGGGAAGAAGCGAAAGUGACGGUACCUGCAGAAAAAGCGCCGGCUAACUACGUGCCAGCAGCCGCGGUAAUACGUAGGGCGCAAGCGUUAUCCGGAAUUAUUGGGCGUAAAGAGCUCGUAGGCGGUUUGUCGCGUCUGCUGUGAAAUCCCGAGGCUCGACCUCGGGCCUGCAGUGGGUACGGGCAGACUAGAGUGCGGUAGGGGAGAUUGGAAUUCCUGGUGUAGCGGUGGAAUGCGCAGAUAUCAGGAGGAACACCGAUGGCGAAGGCAGAUCUCUGGGCCGUAACUGACGCUGAGGAGCGAAAGGGUGGGGAGCAAACAGGCUUAGAUACCCUGGUAGUCCACCCCGUAAACGUUGGGAACUAGUUGUGGGGUCCAUUCCACGGAUUCCGUGACGCAGCUAACGCAUUAAGUUCCCCGCCUGGGGAGUACGGCCGCAAGGCUAAAACUCAAAGGAAUUGACGG
This 568-nucleotide ribosomal RNA is filed under the name Microbacterium sp. ICS11211. Its description in RNAcentral is "bacterial SSU rRNA". It matches the Rfam family "Bacterial small subunit ribosomal RNA", at positions 338 to 916 of the family's 1533-position model. The record is from RNAcentral. Lineage: Bacteria; Bacillati; Actinomycetota; Actinomycetes; Micrococcales; Microbacteriaceae.